This 440-nucleotide long non-coding RNA is filed under the name Gallus gallus (chicken). RNAcentral describes it as "lncRNA (ENSGALG00010028217.1)". Lineage: Eukaryota; Metazoa; Chordata; Aves; Galliformes; Phasianidae. The record is from RNAcentral.
UGGGAUUAGAUCGGAGGCUUUGGGAAAGGGUAUAGUUCCAGAGGCAUUCCGGACCGAAGCCAACUCCAGAACAACUGAGGGACAGACGAUGGGAUCAAGAACCACUCGUCAAGAGGAGCACUACACCUGCAACGCUGACACUUCCAAUGUUGCUGAUAUUUAUGGUGUCCAUGGCGAUUACAGAGUGUCACAAACAACUACAAUGGACGCAAGAACAUAUGCAGAAGAUUAAAGUGAUCCCUUUGGAAGCUGGCUGGACGGACUGUUUGGGGGAACGGGUUCACGGUUAAAGCAAUUGCUUAAAGCUCUCGCAGUAGGAUUUGCAAUCUUUGUGUGUAUUCUAAUCUGUCUUCCAUGCUUUGUAGGAUGCUUGCAGAACUGCCUUCAACGAAUGAUGGACAAGACUUUUGACUAUCACAUUGAGUAUCAUAGAUUGCGUG